RNAcentral lists this long non-coding RNA (690 nucleotides) under Nicotiana benthamiana. RNAcentral describes it as "long non-coding RNA (NBEN_LNC022830)". The record is from RNAcentral. Lineage: Eukaryota; Viridiplantae; Streptophyta; Magnoliopsida; Solanales; Solanaceae.
CAAUAUGCAUGACUAUAUCAAAUAACAAAGCAUGUAAGGAGAAACAUAUUCUCAUACAUAACUACAAUUGCAUUGCUAUCACAGGCUUUAUGCAAUCAAUCUGAUUAGAUAGAUCUCCUUCCACAUAAUUAGGAAGUGAUGGAUGAUCCUCAUUUUCUAUCCUAUCUGAACCAGUUCACAAAAGAUUUGAGGAUCUAAUUUUGACAGUACAAGCAUGACAGUGCUGUCAAGCAAUGCAAAAUACUUCAAAAGAUGAUUAAUUGUGGGAUGGGCACGUCCCUUGCAUGUCCAACAUGUGCCAUGUUUUACAAAGGAGUCUUUCAGAAGCAUCAGGUUUCAUAAUCAUAGCAUACAAUCAGACAUUUUUUUAAUGAAGUAAGAAGAUUUCAUUAAAUAGAUAUCAGACACACCUAUCUCUCCAAUUCAAUUCAUCAACUAUUGCCAUGUCUUUCUUCUUUAAGUACUUAGGUAAUGCUCUUGAUAUACUAACACAGAUAAGCUGUAAAAAAAUAGGAGCAGAGAAGCCACCAGGAAUAGGAAAGAGGAAUAAAAUGAGAGAAAUGAAUCAGUAAAAGGCUAUGUUUACUGAAUUCUAUAUAAACUAUCCAAGACGUUGGUGCAACUUUACUGUAAUGCUAGUACAUCUUAAAAACACAAAAUUGUCGACUUCCUUGUAGGUAAAUAUUAGAC